Molecule: long non-coding RNA, 934 nt
Organism: Panthera uncia (snow leopard)
Lineage: Eukaryota; Metazoa; Chordata; Mammalia; Carnivora; Felidae
Exons: 8
Source: RefSeq, a predicted model, not a curated record
UUUCUACUCUAUAAAUAGUCGCCCACUGGGACAUUAACUCUCCCACACUCCCAGGUUGCAUAUAAGUGGCCAUAUUGGUUCCCACAAGUGUCCUGUUACAGAGAAGCUCAGGACAGAAAGCAAAAAGAUCACUGGUACAGCUAAUGGGAGGUGCUGUCUGGUCACAUCUGUACAAAGCUGCUUGCCUCAGCAAUGAUUAAAUCAAAAGAUGAACUGAAAGAAUAGAAAAAAACCCUGCAUGGCACAGUUAAUGGCAGCUACCUGCAAACCAAGGAGAGCAGUCUCAGAAGAAUUCGAACUUGUUGACAUCCUGAUCUUGGACAAUUAGCCUCCGGAAUGGUCAUGAUACUAAUGGAAAACUUCAGCCUCUCUAGCUGAAUUGAAGCCCUCUGUAUUCUACCCCCAAGAAAAAGCAGCGCUGAUGGAGGUCAUGGUGAAGAAUAUUAUUAGGUCAUGGCGUUGAGAGGCUUCCAAAUUUCCUCACUUUCAUUGCUUCACCUGUGCUGGGAAGAAAAGCUGUAACUUUUGCUAUGUUCCUAAGAGAAGGUAUGCAUGCUCUCACUAAUGUGACAGGUGACCAACAGGCCACACUUUCUCUUUUUCCAGUAUGCUCCUGAGUUCAUCUUUCUUUUAAAGCAGUGCUGACCAAGUUGAGAAAUCACAGUUUACUGCAUUGCUGCAGGAGCUGUAUAUAUGGACGUGAAGCACAUAUUAGUGCUAGGGGCAGUCAAGUACAAAGAGCACUAUAACACAGAGAGUACUCAGUGCUAUAAUAGAACAAAGAGCAAAGUCAUCCAGGAACAACACAUGAUAAAGAAACCAAGAGCAGAAUGGUUAAGUACCUUACAACCCCCCAUUUAAAUUACAGAUGAAGAAAACUUCUAAAAGCUAAGAAAGUCACUCAAACCAAUAAACAAAACAGAAUUAAGAUUUA